CGCGGCCUAUCAGCUUGUUGGUGGGGUAAUGGCCUACCAAGGCGACGACGGGUAGCCGGCCUGAGAGGGUGACCGGCCACACUGGGACUGAGAUACGGCCCAGACUCCUACGGGAGGCAGCAGUGGGGAAUAUUGCACAAUGGGCGCAAGCCUGAUGCAGCGACGCCGCGUGAGGGAUGACGGCCUUCGGGUUGUAAACCUCUUUCAGCACAGACGAAGCGCAAGUGACGGUAUGUGCAGAGGAAGGACCGGCCAACUACGUGCCAGCAGCCGCGGUAAUACGUAGGGUCCGAGCGUUGUCCGGAAUUACUGGGCGUAAAGAGCUCGUAGGUGGUUUGUCGCGUUGUUCGUGAAAACUCACAGCUUAACUGUGGGCGUGCGGGCGAUACGGGCAGACUUGAGUACUGCAGGGGAGACUGGAAUUCCUGGUGUAGCGGUGGAAUGCGCAGAUAUCAGGAGGAACACCGGUGGCGAAGGCGGGUCUCUGGGCAGUAACUGACGCUGAGGAGCGAAAGCGUGGGGAGCGAACAGGAUUAGAUACCCUGGUAGUCCACGCCGUAAACGGUGGGUACUAGGUGUGGGUUUCCUUCCUUGGGAUCCGUGCCGUAGCUAACGCAUUAAGUACCCCGCCUGGGGAGUACGG
RNAcentral lists this ribosomal RNA (643 nucleotides) under uncultured bacterium. Its description in RNAcentral is "bacterial SSU rRNA". It matches the Rfam family "Bacterial small subunit ribosomal RNA", at positions 232 to 885 of the family's 1533-position model. The record is from RNAcentral.